RNAcentral lists this ribosomal RNA (404 nucleotides) under uncultured soil bacterium. RNAcentral describes it as "bacterial SSU rRNA". It matches the Rfam family "Bacterial small subunit ribosomal RNA", at positions 26 to 426 of the family's 1533-position model. The record is from RNAcentral.
AGAUUGAACGCUGGCGGCAGGCCUAACACAUGCAAGUCGAGCGGUAGAGAGGUGCUUGCACCUCUUGAGAGCGGCGGACGGGUGAGUAAUGCCUAGGAAUCUGCCUAGUGGUGGGGGAUAACGUUCGGAAACGGACGCUCAUACCGCAUACGUCCUACGGGAGAAAGCGGGGGACCUUCGGGCCUCGCGCCAUUAGAUGAGCCUAGGUCGGAUUAGCUAGUUGGUGAGGUAAUGGCUCACCAAGGCGACGAUCCGUAACUGGUCUGAGAGGAUGAUCAGUCACACUGGAACUGAGACGACGGUCCAGACUCCUACGGGAGCAGCAGUGGGAAUAGUUGGAACAAGUGGGACGAAAGGCCCGAUCCGAGCCAGUCGCCGCGUGUGUGAAGAGGUCUUCGGAUUAG